RNAcentral lists this ribosomal RNA (595 nucleotides) under Metschnikowia hawaiiana. RNAcentral describes it as "[Candida] hawaiiana partial large subunit ribosomal RNA". The stretch from base 1 to 528 matches the Rfam family "Eukaryotic large subunit ribosomal RNA", at positions 71 to 664 of the family's 3401-position model. Lineage: Eukaryota; Fungi; Ascomycota; Pichiomycetes; Serinales; Metschnikowiaceae. The record is from RNAcentral.
AGGGUUUACUUAGUACGGCGAGUGAGCGGUAAAAGCUCAAAUUUGAAAUCCCCCCGGGGAGUUGUAAUUUGAAGGUUUAACUUUUAGGACCAGCGCAAAGUCCAUUGGAACAUGGCGCCACAGAGGGUGAGAGCCCCGUAGGCAACGGUCCGCCUAUAAAGUUAUUCCAAAGAGUCGAGUUGUUUGGGAAUGCAGCUCUAAGUGGGUGGUAAAUUCCAUCUAAAGCUAAAUAUUGGCGAGAGACCGAUAGCGAACAAGUACAGUGAUGGAAAGAUGAAAAGCACUUUGAAAAGAGAGUGAAACAGUACGUGAAAUUGUUGAAAGGGAAGGGCUUGCAAGCAGACACGAUUCUCUCGGGAAUUGGGCCAGCAUCGGUUGCCGGGGGUAGAAAAAAACGCAGAAAUGUGGCACUGGGCUUCGGCCCGGUGUGUUAUAGUCUGACGUUAAUAUACCCACUGGCGACCGAGGCCUGCGUUCUAAACAAGGAUGCUGGCGUAAUGGUUGCAAGUCGCCCGUCUUGACCCCCGGGGUUUCCCUGGCUUUUUUUUUUUGGGCCGGGCCCCCCCUUUUUUUUUUUAAAGACAGAAAAAAAGGU